RNAcentral lists this ribosomal RNA (400 nucleotides) under uncultured bacterium. RNAcentral's name for it is "bacterial SSU rRNA". It matches the Rfam family "Bacterial small subunit ribosomal RNA", at positions 357 to 774 of the family's 1533-position model. The record is from RNAcentral.
GGGAAUAUUGGACAAUGGGCGCAAGCCUGAUCCAGCCAUGCCGCGUGGAUGAUGAAGGCCCUAGGGUUGUAAAGUCCUUUCGGCGGGGAAGAUAAUGACGGUACCCGCAGAAGAAGCCCCGGCUAACUUCGUGCCAGCAGCCGCGGUAAUACGAAGGGGGCUAGCGUUGCUCGGAAUCACUGGGCGUAAAGCGCACGUAGGCGGCUUUCUAAGUCGGUGGUGAAAUCCUGGAGCUCAACUCCAGAACUGCCUCCGAUACUGGAGAGCUCGAGUCCGGGAGAGGUGAGUGGAACUGCGAGUGUAGAGGUGAAAUUCGUAGAUAUUCGCAAGAACACCAGUGGCGAAGGCGGCUCACUGGCCCGGUACUGACGCUGAGGUGCGAAAGCGUGGGGAGCAAACA